CUUGAACAAAUUGUUGGAUCAUUGCUUUUAAUUGUUAAUUUUAAUAAUUCGAGCUGUUAGAAAAUUAUAACUACUUUAUUUAAAGCGUAUAGACAUAGUGCCCAGUGAUUCACUAAUCAUUAAUUCUAAAAGCUCGAGCUGUUCAAAAAAUAUACCUAAUUCAUUUAAAGUGUAUAGACAUAGCGCCCGCUGGUCUGCUAACCAUUAAUUCUAAAAGCUCGAGCUGCUCAAAAGAUACAACUAAUUUAUUUAAAGCGUAUAAACACAGCGCCCGCUAGUCUCAACUGUGACUUGACCUACCCCGGCCUUCACCACAGGAUAA
RNAcentral lists this long non-coding RNA (322 nucleotides) under Ananas comosus (pineapple). RNAcentral describes it as "long non-coding RNA (ACOM_LNC038203)". Lineage: Eukaryota; Viridiplantae; Streptophyta; Magnoliopsida; Poales; Bromeliaceae. The record is from RNAcentral.